This 433-nucleotide ribosomal RNA is filed under the name uncultured bacterium. Its description in RNAcentral is "partial 16S ribosomal RNA". It matches the Rfam family "Bacterial small subunit ribosomal RNA", at positions 29 to 507 of the family's 1533-position model. The record is from RNAcentral.
AACGAACGCUGGCGGCAUGCCUAACACAUGCAAGUCGAACGAGACCUUCGGGUCUAGUGGCGCACGGGUGCGUAACGCGUGGGAACCUGCCCUUAGGUUCGGAAUAACUCCACGAAAGGGGUGCUAAUACCGGAUAAUGUCUUCGGACCAAAGAUUUAUCGACUUUGGAUGGGCCCGCGUUGGAUUAGCUAGUUGGUAGGGUAAAAGCCUACCAAGGCGACGAUCCAUAGCUGGUCUGAGAGGAUGAUCAGCCACACUGGGACUGAGACACGGCCCAGACUCCUACGGGAGGCAGCAGUGGGGAAUAUUGGACAAUGGGCGAAAGCCUGAUCCAGCAAUGCCGCGUGAGUGAUGAAGGCCGUAGGGUUGUAAAGCUCUUUUACCCGGGAUGAUAAUGACAGUACCGGGAGAAUAAGCUCCGGCUAACUCCGUG